RNAcentral lists this ribosomal RNA (478 nucleotides) under uncultured bacterium. RNAcentral's name for it is "partial 16S ribosomal RNA". It matches the Rfam family "Bacterial small subunit ribosomal RNA", at positions 28 to 523 of the family's 1533-position model. The record is from RNAcentral.
GACGAACGCUGGCGGCGUGCUUAACACAUGCAAGUCGAACGGUAAGGCCCUUCGGGGUACACGAGUGGCGAACGGGUGAGUAACACGUGGGUGAUCUGCCCUGCACUCCGGGAUAAGCCUGGGAAACUGGGUCUAAUACCGGCUAGGACUCCUGGCUUCAUGGUUGGGGGUGGAAAGCUUGUGCGGUGUGGGAUGGGCCCGCGGCCUAUCAGCUUGUUGGUGGGGUAAUGGCCUACCUAGGCGACGGCGGGUAGCCGGCCUGAGAGGGUGACCGGUCACACUGGGACUGAGAUACGGCUCAGACUCCUACGGGAGGCAGCAGUGGGGAAUAUUGCACGAUGGGCGCAAGCCUGAUGCAGCGACGCCGCGUGAGGGAUGACGGCCUUCGGGUUGUAAACCUCUUUCAGCUAUGACGAAGCGCAAGUGACGGUAGUAGCAGAAGAAGGACCGGCCAACUACGUGCCAGCCGCCGCCGUAA